RNAcentral lists this ribosomal RNA (253 nucleotides) under uncultured prokaryote. RNAcentral's name for it is "partial 16S ribosomal RNA". It matches the Rfam family "Bacterial small subunit ribosomal RNA", at positions 524 to 776 of the family's 1533-position model. The record is from RNAcentral.
UACGGGGGGGGCAAGCGUUGUUCGGAAUUACUGGGCGUAAAGGGCUCGUAGGCGGCCAACUAAGUCGGAUGUGAAAUCCCCAGGCUUAACCUGGGAACUGCAUCCGAUACUGGAUGGCUUGAAUCCGGGAGAGGGAUGCAGAAUUCCAGGUGUAGCGGUGAAAUGCGUAGAUAUCUGGAGGAACACCGGUGGCGAAGGCGACAUCCUGGAUCGACACUGACGCUAAGGCGCGAAAGCGUGGGGAGCAAACAGG